This 305-nucleotide ribosomal RNA is filed under the name uncultured bacterium. Its description in RNAcentral is "bacterial SSU rRNA". It matches the Rfam family "Bacterial small subunit ribosomal RNA", at positions 337 to 635 of the family's 1533-position model. The record is from RNAcentral.
ACCUACGGGGGGCAGCAGUAGGGAAUUUUCGUCAAUGGGCGCAAGCCUGAACGAGCAAUGCCGCGUGAACGAGGAAGGUCUUCGGAUCGUAAAGUUCUGUUGAAGGGGAAAAAGAGCGGAGAGAGGAAAUGCUUUCUGAUUGAUAUUACCCUUCGAGGAAGUCACGGCUAACUACGUGCCAGCAGCCGCGGUAAUACGUAGGUGGCGAGCGUUAUCCGGAAUGAUUGGGCGUAAAGGGUGCGUAGGCGGCCUGCUAAGUCUGGAGUGAAAGGCACCGGCUCAACCGGUACAGGCUCUGGAAACUG